This is a long non-coding RNA of Cicer arietinum (chickpea), 1579 nucleotides long. RefSeq lists it as uncharacterized. Lineage: Eukaryota; Viridiplantae; Streptophyta; Magnoliopsida; Fabales; Fabaceae. The record is from RefSeq and is a predicted model, not a curated record.
UUGUAACAUUGUGGGAUCUUCAUGAUUAUAGCAACAAGAAGACUGUCAUCACAUAUGAGGCAGUUGAAGCUGUUUGUACAAUUGGUGCUGGGAGUCUUUUUGCUUCAUCUUUGGAUUCAUAUCGGCAAAGUUCAAAAAAACACACUAGUUCUCAAGCAUUGUAUUUUGUUACGGUUGGUGAGCGAGGCAUUGUGCCCUUAUUGAGUUCUGAAGGGAAAUUUGAAGAUCCGUGGUUUGGGUCGGGGAGAUGCAUCCUUGUUGGAGAAUUACUGAAUUGCAAAAAUAUUGACUCGAUAUUUCAAAGGGUUGUUAACGAAGAUCUUCGCCACAAACACUCAAAUUUACUUAGAGAUAGUUGGAGUGCGAUAUGUUGCCUAAGCUGCCAUACUCUCAAAUGCACUUGACAAGUAUCAUUUAAAUAUAUUUAAAGAAGAAAUUUAGAGAUUUCAACUUAGACGAUGAUGUGAAUAGAAAGCCUCUAAUUCUUGUAAGUUCAGAUAAGUGGCUAUUGUUCCAAGAGUUGAAUGUGAGAAUGUCCAAAAUGCAACGAGCCCGGACAACAUUUGUGAGCACGAAAUUACAACAGGAGCUCUUAUGUCACAUAGGGCCUCUCUUCCUUCCAUGUUAGCGCCAACACAAUAUGUGUGGUCUUCAAUGUGAAGUCUCACAAGUCCAACAACAAGUGUAGAAAGUUCAACUAAUGCUAAUAUUAACUUCUUAUUAUUGAUAUAAUCAUACAGGUGUCAAAGUUAAUUACUCGGUAUUGGGCUUCCUAGCAAGUCAUACUGACAGUGAUUUCCAUUCACGUUUGACAGCGAUAAUCAAGAUGAAAUUGAUUUGAGCCAUUAUACAUCAACUCAGAUUUGUGGUGGAUGACGUAACAUCAUGUUUUCGAGCAAUAGUCAAAGAAAAUAAUUGGGCACAUUAUUCACUUUUUGUGAACUUGUUAAGGAAAUUUGAAGAUAUGUGGUUUGAGACGGGGAGAUGCAUCCUUGUUGGAGAAUUAUUGAAUUGCAAAAAGAUUGACUCGAUAUUUCAAAGAUAUUUCAAAGGAUUGUAAAUAAUAUAAAAGAUCAUUGCAACUUGAAAAUAAAUGAAGAUCUUUUAGAAAAAUUCCUUGUCCGCCACAAGCACUCAGUUUCAGAGUUACUUAGAGAAACCUUGGUACAUAGCUGGAGUGGGAUAUGUUGCCAAAGCUGCCAUACUCCCAAAUGCAUUUGACGAGAGUGCAUAUAAAACAGCAUUUAAAUAUUUAAGGAAGAAAUUUAGAGAUUUCAAUUUAGACGAUGAUGUGAAUAGAAAGCCUCUAAUUAUUGUCUUGGAUUCUGAAGUUCAGGUAAAUGAUUCAUUUUUUACUUUCUUAUUAUGUAGUUAUGAUAUACAUGUGUAUAUAACCAUAAUGUUGUAAGAACUGUGUCUAAGAGCGGGUGAAUUAAGUGUUAGGAAAUUUUCUUAUUGUUAGAGGUUUAGUAAUCGAUUUUUUUCUCGUUGGACAGUGUAGGACAACGAGUAAAUGACAGUAAAUUAAUGAACACAUAAUAUUAUCCUGGUUUCUUUUGUGACAAAGAGUACAUCCAGU